This 272-nucleotide ribosomal RNA is filed under the name uncultured bacterium. RNAcentral's name for it is "partial small subunit ribosomal RNA". It matches the Rfam family "Bacterial small subunit ribosomal RNA", at positions 26 to 285 of the family's 1533-position model. The record is from RNAcentral.
AGAAUCAACGCUGGCGGCGUGCCUAACACAUGCAAGUCGAACGCGAAAGCCCCGAAAGGGGCAAGUAGAGUGGCAAACGGGUGAGUAACGCGUGGGUGACCUGCCUUCGAGCGGGGGAUAACGUUCCGAAAGGGACGCUAAUACCGCAUAACAUCCUGCCUUUGAAGAGGUGGAGAUCAAAGCUGGGGAUCGCAAGACCUGGCACUUGAAGAGGGGCUCGCGUCUGAUUAGCUAGUUGGUGAGGUAACGGCUCACCAAGGCAACGAUCAGUA